RNAcentral lists this ribosomal RNA (933 nucleotides) under uncultured Thiobacillus sp. Its description in RNAcentral is "bacterial SSU rRNA". It matches the Rfam family "Bacterial small subunit ribosomal RNA", at positions 500 to 1436 of the family's 1533-position model. The record is from RNAcentral. Lineage: Bacteria; Pseudomonadati; Pseudomonadota; Betaproteobacteria; Nitrosomonadales; Thiobacillaceae.
GCUAUGCGCCAGCAGCCGCGGUAAUACGUAGGGUGCGAGCGUUAAUCGGAAUUACUGGGCGUAAAGCGUGCGCAGGCGGAUUGUUAAGCAAGAUGUGAAAUCCCCGGGCUUAACCUGGGAAUGGCAUUUUGAACUGGUAGUCUAGAGUGUGUCAGAGGGGGGUGGAAUUCCACGUGUAGCAGUGAAAUGCGUAGAUAUGUGGAGGAACACCAAUGGCGAAGGCAGCCCCCUGGGAUAACACUGACGCUCAUGUACGAAAGCGUGGGUAGCAAACAGGAUUAGAUACCCUGGUAGUCCACGCCCUAAACGAUGUCAACUGGUUGUUGGGGGAGUGAAAUCCCUUAGUAACGAAGCUAACGCGUGAAGUUGACCGCCUGGGGAGUACGGUCGCAAGAUUAAAACUCAAAGGAAUUGACGGGGACCCGCACAAGCGGUGGAUGAUGUGGAUUAAUUCGAUGCAACGCGAAAAACCUUACCUACCCUUGACAUGUCCAGAAUCCUGCAGAGAUGCGGGAGUGCCCGAAAGGGAAUUGGAACACAGGUGCUGCAUGGCUGUCAUCAGCUCGUGUCGUGAGAUGUUGGGUUAAGUCCCGCAACGAGCGCAACCCUUAUCAUUAGUUGCUACGCAAGGGCACUCUAAUGAGACUGCCGGUGACAAACCGGAGGAAGGUGGGGAUGACGUCAAGUCCUCAUGGCCCUUAUGGGUGGGGCUUCACACGUCAUACAAUGGUCGGUACAGAGGGUUGCCAAGCCGCGAGGUGGAGCCAAUCCCAGAAAGCCGAUCGUAGUCCGGAUUGUUCUCUGCAACUCGAGAGCAUGAAGUCGGAAUCGCUAGUAAUCGCGGAUCAGCAUGUCGCGGUGAAUACGUUCCCGGGUCUUGUACACACCGCCCGUCACACCAUGGGAGUGGAAUCUGCCAGAAGUAGGUAGCCU